Molecule: ribosomal RNA, 253 nt
Filed under: uncultured bacterium
Lineage: Bacteria
Description: partial 16S ribosomal RNA
Rfam family: Bacterial small subunit ribosomal RNA
Source: RNAcentral
UACGUAGGGUGCGAGCGUUGUCCGGAAUUAUUGGGCGUAAAGAGCUCGUAGGCGGUUUGUUGCGUCUAUCGUGAAAACCUGCAGCUUAACUGUGGGCUUGCGGUGGAUACGGGCAGACUUGAGUUCGGUAGGGGAGUCUGGAAUUCCUGGUGUAGCGGUGAAAUGCGCAGAUAUCAGGAGGAACACCGGUGGCGAAGGCGGGACUCUGGGCCGAUACUGACGCUGAGGAGCGAAAGCGUGGGGAGCGAACAGG